AGCAAUAGCUACUUGCAUCAUUGUAAAUAUGAUGCAAGAUCGACUAUGUCGAAUAAAAUUCUAGGUAGAAUUAUGAUAAUGACAUUGUCUGCCUAUGUGUCUUGACCAAAUUACGUGCCAGCUGUCGCGGUAAUACGUAGAAGACUAGUGUUAUUCAUGUUUAAUCGGUUUAAAGGGUACCUAGACGGUAAAUCAAGCCUAAAAAGAAGGAAAUAAAGGGACUAAUUUACUAGAGUUACUUAUGAGGGGGUAUUAAAGUACUGCUGGUGUAGAGAUGAAAUUCUGUCAUACCUCUUUUCAAUAGAAAAAUAAUGGCACAGGUAUAGGCGAAGGCAUCCCCUUAUGUGAUAACUGACGUUGAGGGACGAAGGCUUUGUGUAGCGAACAGGAUUAGAUACCCCAGUAGUCAAAGCAGAAAAUGAUGAAUGUCAUAGAUUAGAUAUAUAAGUUUAUUCUAUAAAUGAAAGUGUAAGCAUUCCACCUCAAGAGUAAUUUGGCAACAUUGGAACUGAAAUCAUUAGACCGUUUCUGAAACCAGUAGUGAAGUAUGUUGUUUAAUUUGAUAAUCCGCAAAAAACCUUACCACAAUUUGAAUAUUUAUAUUUUUUUUUAUUGUUUUUCUUUUUAAUUAUCUUCCGAUUUUCUAGUUAAAGGAAAACUAGAAGAAAAAGAAAAAAAAGGCAAUAAGA
Molecule: ribosomal RNA, 689 nt
Filed under: Melanelia hepatizon
Lineage: Eukaryota; Fungi; Ascomycota; Lecanoromycetes; Lecanorales; Parmeliaceae
Description: partial small subunit ribosomal RNA
Rfam family: Bacterial small subunit ribosomal RNA
Source: RNAcentral